RNAcentral lists this ribosomal RNA (1222 nucleotides) under Limosilactobacillus fermentum. RNAcentral describes it as "bacterial SSU rRNA". It matches the Rfam family "Bacterial small subunit ribosomal RNA", at positions 126 to 1334 of the family's 1533-position model. Lineage: Bacteria; Bacillati; Bacillota; Bacilli; Lactobacillales; Lactobacillaceae. The record is from RNAcentral.
CUGCCCAGAAGCGGGGGACAACAUUUGGAAACAGAUGCUAAUACCGCAUAACAACGUUGUUCGCAUGAACAACGCUUAAAAGAUGGCUUCUCGCUAUCACUUCUGGAUGGACCUGCGGUGCAUUAGCUUGUUGGUGGGGUAACGGCCUACCAAGGCGAUGAUGCAUAGCCGAGUUGAGAGACUGAUCGGCCACAAUGGGACUGAGACACGGCCCAUACUCCUACGGGAGGCAGCAGUAGGGAAUCUUCCACAAUGGGCGCAAGCCUGAUGGAGCAACACCGCGUGAGUGAAGAAGGGUUUCGGCUCGUAAAGCUCUGUUGUUAAAGAAGAACACGUAUGAGAGUAACUGUUCAUACGUUGACGGUAUUUAACCAGAAAGUCACGGCUAACUACGUGCCAGCAGCCGCGGUAAUACGUAGGUGGCAAGCGUUAUCCGGAUUUAUUGGGCGUAAAGAGAGUGCAGGCGGUUUUCUAAGUCUGAUGUGAAAGCCUUCGGCUUAACCGGAGAAGUGCAUCGGAAACUGGAUAACUUGAGUGCAGAAGAGGGUAGUGGAACUCCAUGUGUAGCGGUGGAAUGCGUAGAUAUAUGGAAGAACACCAGUGGCGAAGGCGGCUACCUGGUCUGCAACUGACGCUGAGACUCGAAAGCAUGGGUAGCGAACAGGAUUAGAUACCCUGGUAGUCCAUGCCGUAAACGAUGAGUGCUAGGUGUUGGAGGGUUUCCGCCCUUCAGUGCCGGAGCUAACGCAUUAAGCACUCCGCCUGGGGAGUACGACCGCAAGGUUGAAACUCAAAGGAAUUGACGGGGGCCCGCACAAGCGGUGGAGCAUGUGGUUUAAUUCGAAGCUACGCGAAGAACCUUACCAGGUCUUGACAUCUUGCGCCAACCCUAGAGAUUGGGCGUUUCCUUCGGGAACGCAAUGACAGGUGGUGCAUGGUCGUCGUCAGCUCGUGUCGUGAGAUGUUGGGUUAAGUCCCGCAACGAGCGCAACCCUUGUUACUAGUUGCCAGCAUUAAGUUGGGCACUCUAGUGAGACUGCCGGUGACAAACCGGAGGAAGGUGGGGACGACGUCAGAUCAUCAUGCCCCUUAUGACCUGGGCUACACACGUGCUACAAUGGACGGUACAACGAGUCGCGAACUCGCGAGGGCAAGCAAAUCUCUUAAAACCGUUCUCAGUUCGGACUGCAGGCUGCAACUCGCCUGCACGAAGUCGGAAUCG